This 550-nucleotide ribosomal RNA is filed under the name uncultured bacterium. RNAcentral's name for it is "bacterial SSU rRNA". It matches the Rfam family "Bacterial small subunit ribosomal RNA", at positions 355 to 896 of the family's 1533-position model. The record is from RNAcentral.
UGGGGAAUAUUGCGCAAUGGGGGGAACCCUGACGCAGCCAUGCCGCGUGAAUGAAGAAGGCCUUCGGGUUGUAAAGUUCUUUCGGUAUUGAGGAAGGUUGAUGUGUUAAUAGCACAUCAAAUUGACGUUAAAUACAGAAGAAGCACCGGCUAACUCCGUGCCAGCAGCCGCGGUAAUACGGAGGGUGCGAGCGUUAAUCGGAAUUACUGGGCGUAAAGCGCGCGUAGGUGGUUAUUUAAGUCAGAUGUGAAAGCCCCGGGCUUAACCUGGGAACUGCAUCUGAUACUGGAUAACUAGAGUAGGUGAGAGGGGAGUAGAAUUCCAGGUGUAGCGGUGAAAUGCGUAGAGAUCUGGAGGAAUACCGAUGGCGAAGGCAGCUCCCUGGCAUCAUACUGACACUGAGGUGCGAAAGCGUGGGUAGCAAACAGGAUUAGAUACCCUGGUAGUCCACGCCGUAAACGAUGUCUACCAGUCGUUGGGUCUUUUAAAGACUUAGUGACGCAGUUAACGCAAUAAGUAGACCGCCUGGGGAGUACGGCGGGCAAGGUUA